This 406-nucleotide ribosomal RNA is filed under the name uncultured bacterium. RNAcentral describes it as "partial 16S ribosomal RNA". It matches the Rfam family "Bacterial small subunit ribosomal RNA", at positions 30 to 526 of the family's 1533-position model. The record is from RNAcentral.
AUUGAACGCUGGCGGCAGGCCUAACACAUGCAAGUCGAACGAGUGGCGGACGGGUGAGUAAUGUCUGGGAAACUGCCUGAUGGAGGGGUAUAACUACUGGAAACGGUAGCUAAUACCGCAUACCAUCAGAUGUGCCCACGUGGGAUUAGCUAGUUGGGGGGGUAACGGCUCACAAAGGCGACGAUCCCUAGCUGGUCUGAGAGGAUGACCGGCCACACUGGGACUGAGACACGGUCCAGACUCCUACGGGAGGCAGCAGUGGGGAAUAUUGAGCAAUGGGCGAAAGCCUGAUGGAGCAAUGCCGCGUGUGUGAAGAAGGCCUUCGGGUUGUAAAACACUGUAAGCGGGGAGGCGUUAUCUGCAGAAGAAGCACCGGCUAACUCCGUGCCAGCAGCCGCGGUAAUUC